UUAUUGGAGAGUUUGAUCCUGGCUCAGGACGAACGCUGGCGGCGUGCUUAACACAUGCAAGUCGAGGGCACGGGGCAACCCGUGACCGGCGAACGGGUGCGUAACACGUGAGCGACCUGCCGAUCUGCGGGGGAUAGCCGGCCCAACGGCCGGGUAAUACCGCAUACGUUCAAGCGAGGGCAUCCUUGUUUGAGGAAACUUUCGGGGCGGAUCGAGGGGCUCGCGGCCUAUCAGCUAGUUGGCGGGGUAACGGCCCACCAAGGCGUCGACGGGUAGCUGGUCUGAGAGGAUGGCCAGCCACAUUGGGACUGAGAUACGGCCCAGACUCCUACGGGAGGCAGCAGUGGGGAAUAUUGCGCAAUGGCCUAACGGCUGACGCAGCGACGCCGCGUG
RNAcentral lists this ribosomal RNA (393 nucleotides) under Gemmatimonadota bacterium. RNAcentral describes it as "bacterial SSU rRNA". It matches the Rfam family "Bacterial small subunit ribosomal RNA", at positions 1 to 403 of the family's 1533-position model. The record is from RNAcentral. Lineage: Bacteria; Pseudomonadati; Gemmatimonadota.